Molecule: ribosomal RNA, 253 nt
Filed under: uncultured bacterium
Lineage: Bacteria
Description: partial 16S ribosomal RNA
Rfam family: Bacterial small subunit ribosomal RNA
Source: RNAcentral
UACGUAGGGGGCUAGCGUUGUCCGGAAUCAUUGGGCGUAAAGCGCGCGUAGGCGGCCCGGUAAGUCCGCUGUGUAAGUCAAAGGCUCAACCUUUGAAUGUCAGCGGAUACUGCCGGGCUAGAGUCCGGAAGAGGCGAGUGGAACUCCUGGUGUAGCGGUGGAAUGCGCAGAUAUCAGGAAGAACACCAACGGCGAAGGCAGCUCGCUGGGACGGAACUGACGCUAAGGCGCGAAAGCGUGGGGAGCGAACAGG